CACGUAGUUAGCCGGCGCUUCUUCUGCAGGUACCGUCACUCUCGCUUCUUCCCUGCUGAAAGGGGUUUACAACCCGAGGGCCUUCAUCCCCCACGCGGCGUCGCUGCAUCAGGCUUGCGCCCAUUGUGCAAUAUUCCCCACUGCUGCCUCCCGUAGGAGUCUGGGCCGUAUCUCAGUCCCAGUGUGGCCGGUCGCCCUCUCAGGCCGGCUACCCGUCGUCGCCUUGGUGGGCCAUUACCCCACCAACAAGCUGAUAGGCCGCGAGUCCAUCCCCCACCGAUAAAUCUUUCCAGGCACACCCCAUGCGAAGGUGCCUCGUAUCCGGUAUUAGCCACGAUUUCCCGAGGUUAUCCCGAAGUGAGGGGCAGGUUACUCACGUGUUACUCACCCGUUCGCCACUGAUCCAGCAGAGCAAGCUCCACCUUCACCGUUCGACUUGCAUGUGUUAAGCACGCCGCCAGCGUCUCCUGUGCACGAGUCAACUAC
This 486-nucleotide ribosomal RNA is filed under the name uncultured Sanguibacter sp. Its description in RNAcentral is "partial 16S ribosomal RNA". The record is from RNAcentral. Lineage: Bacteria; Bacillati; Actinomycetota; Actinomycetes; Micrococcales; Sanguibacteraceae.